This 1938-nucleotide long non-coding RNA is filed under the name Manduca sexta (tobacco hornworm). RNAcentral's name for it is "uncharacterized LOC119189989". The record is from RNAcentral. Lineage: Eukaryota; Metazoa; Arthropoda; Insecta; Lepidoptera; Sphingidae.
AACAGAUAUUAACAUAUCAACAAUGGAAAUCAAUACUCGAGUACUAUAUUCAAUGUCGUGUGCAGAUCGCGUUUACUGUUUAGAGUCAACCUUGCGUCGCUCCAGCGUCACAUUUUACUCAUCGCAUCACGAAUUAACAUUUUCCGGAACGUGCGCUUUUAUGAUCAACCGUAUUAUGUAAUUAACCGUAACGCGAACGUUUUGACGCAUUUGGGCUUGCAAGGGGCGUUGCCCAACCGUUAGCAAUUACGUACAACCAAGACGCAUUUAGCGUGUUUGACAAAAAAAAUCACAAUGUUUUACGUAGAUAACGAGCCCAAAAAAUCUUGUACAAACACACGCAAAUAUUUCAGCGAUCGAGUUGGCUUGUACACAAACAAAAUUAUAUAAUGGGUGAACGUUUUUGGUGUCACAAGGUUGACAGUUCUUACUUCUUUUGCGGUAAUGAGACAAGUCUAGGAAAAUCUUUAACUGCAGGGAGAACAGAAAUAACUUUGUAUGGGCUUAUUUUAUGUAAAUACUUCUAUUUCUGUGUAUGCUCAGCAUUUAAAAUCUUAACUACAGGCCAAUAUUUACAUUUAAGAUAAGACUAAAAACAUAUUUACUCAUGAUAUAAACAUAUUAAAUAAAAUUUUUGGUAAGGGAAACUUUGACAAGAGAAUAAAAAUGCUUUAAAAGCAUUUAUUCACCGUGAAGUCUGGGACUUAUCUAGGACAACUUGACUAAGAUAUCACUUGCGAAAAGCUGAAAUCACACAUUGACUUUGCCACUAAAACAAAAGUAUUCAGCAAAAAAAAAAUACAAUUCAAACAAACAUUAAAACCAUAAAAUAUUUUGUGAUUUCACCAAGUCACAUACAUUUUGUGCAACUGUGCCAACUCUGUUUUAUAGUAGGACAGCCUAAAAAUAGUGGGCAAACGUAAAUUCAUUUCAAGAUAUGAGAAUGUCAAUGUUAAUGCUAGAGGUGUUAUGGAAUUUCAUUAACAAUGCAAUGUUUUAAUUAUAUUACAUGAAUAUUCUACUUUAGAAUUUCUACCAUUUUUGUUUUCAUUGUCUGCCAAUUUCAAGGCCAAGUGUUAAUUAAAAGAUAUAAAUUUAUUAUAAUAAGACAACAAACAGUUAAAGCAAGCCUCAUUUCCUAUGCUAAUCUGUACAUUCCUACCAAGAUCAUUGUACAAUUACUACAUGCAUUUCUUAAAAGGUUACUUGUCUGAUAUACAAGGAAUAAAUUAUAAUGAUUUUACUUGUUUCAAAGUGUAAUAUAUUUAUGUAAGUUUCCACUACUAUUGCCUGAAUAUAUAUUUAAGAAUAAUAAUAGACAUCAGAACAGUAUGGCAAUGUAAUUCCAAAAUAUGCCAAAAUCUUCACUGUGAUGCAUUUUAAGUGUUAAUUUCCAGUUGCAAUUCAAGAUCUAGGUUGGCUGUAAAGGGCAUGGUUAACUAGAAGUUGUAUAAAAUGGAAGUUAAGCUUGAAUGAGGAGGUAGCGACGGUCGUGUUGUGUAAGGUCAACCUAUACGGCUGAAAGCGUGUUAUUGAUUAGCAAAAGUAAUAUAAAUUAAAAAUAUCCUCGGGUUUUUGCAAUUCACUCACGAGACGGAAAACCCAUUACUAUGAGAGACAGGUACCUCACAAUGCGUUGGGAACCUUGAAACCGGUAUGACGAUGUGCGAAAUACUUCCGGAUGCGAGAAAAAUCAUUCAAAAUUUGAGAAGACACGAGCGUAUUGAACGACGCUUGCUUUCAUACUUCGCAAGGCACUUACUCGAAUUACUGUGUACGCGGCUGUCUUUGGCAAAAAAUAUCGCAACUCAGACACUAAUAAUCAGCUGGGAAUGUCGCUUACUACAUCUCUUAUAAUUUGUUUAUAGAUCGGGAUAUAAAAACAGCUGUCACGUUAUGUAAACUCCGAAAAUAAAUGAAAAUGUACUUACAACAACG